Molecule: ribosomal RNA, 2529 nt
Filed under: Triticum aestivum (bread wheat)
Lineage: Eukaryota; Viridiplantae; Streptophyta; Magnoliopsida; Poales; Poaceae
Description: partial small subunit ribosomal RNA
Source: RNAcentral
AUGCGAGAGUGUCCCCAGAACAACAACCCCAACCCGUCUGGAAUGGCCGUUGGCUGUGGCAAGCCAACAGGGAAGGUGUAUUACGCCAAACUAGUCACCUCUGCACAUGGCCAUGUGAACUGUGUCUCAGCUGAAGAGGCUCAGGAUGAUCCUAACGUCGUUCUUCGUACGCUCCUUGUUAAUUGCCAUCCAGCAUCUCUUCUUUUUGAUACUGGAGCAUCUCAUUCAUUUAUAUCUGAGAGCUAUGCUUGUUUGCACAAUGCCGCAUUUUGUGAUAUGCCCUCCACCAUAGAAAUUUCUACUCCUGGUUCUAGAUGGCAAACUUCUAGAGUAAGCCAUGGGAAUGAAAUUCAUGUCGAUAGACUUGUUUUCCUUGCAUCUUUGAUAGCUCUCAAAUCCUCGGACAUUAAUAUCAUCUUGGGUAUGGACUGGAUGAUAGCCCAUCAUGCUAAGAUUGAUUACUACUCUAGGACUGUUCAACUUGCACAUCCAUCGGGCAAGGUAGUCAAUGUCUUGACCCGAGUGUCUGAGCGUCAGCUCUUCUCUCUUAAUGCCAGGCAUUUUCCAGAUCUCGAAGAAAUCCCGGUAGUCCAUGACUUUCCGGAUGUCUUUUUAGAGGAACUGCCAGGUGUUCCACCUGACAGGGGUAUCGAGUUCGUGAUAGAUCUUGUCCCGGGAACCGUCCAAAUCUCUAGGAGACCUUAUAAGAUGGCACCACUAGAACUAGCUGAACUCAAGAAUCAACUCGAUGAGUCCUUGAAAAAGGGUUUCAUUCGUCCUAGUUCUUCUCCACGGGCUUGCCCCAUCCUCUUCGUCAAGAAGAAGGAUGGUACGGAUCAGAUGGUUGUAGAUUAUCGACCCGUCAAUUUGGUCAUCAUAAAGAACAAGUAUCCGCUCCCCAGGAUCAAUGACCUGUAUGACCAGCUCGUUGGAUCCUUAGUCUUUUCUAAGAUGGAUUUGAGGUUGGGCUACCAUCAAAUCAAAAUCAAGAACGGGGACAUUCCCAAAACGGCCUUUGUUACUCGUUAUGGCCAAUACGGGUACACCGUCAUGUCCUUUAGUUUAACGAAUGCCCCAUCCACCUUCUCUCAGUUAAUGAACUCGAUCUUCAUGGAGUACUUGGAUAAAUUCGCCGUGGUAUACCUCAAUGAUAUACUCAUCUAUUCCAAAAAUGAGGAAGAACAUGCCGAGCAUCUAAGGCUAGUAUUGAUGAAACUUCGAGAGCAUCGCCUUUAUGCCAAAUUCUCUAAAUGUGAAUUCUGGUUGCCAGAAGUGACCUACCUAGGCCAUGUAAUCUCUGGUAAGGGUAUUGUUGUCAAUCUCGAGCGAGUUCAAGCCGUUCUUAAUUGGACUCCACCUGAAUCGGUCAAGCAAGUUUGGAGUUUCCUUGGCUUAGUGAGCUACUACCGCCGCUUUGUCGAGAAUUUCUCCAAGGUUGCUAAACCUCUAACUGAACUUCUCAAGAAAGAUAAAAAGUUUGAGUGGACCCCGCAGUGCGAGUACAGUUUUCAGGAACUGCAAAGACGCCUGACAUCUGCUCCCGUACUGGUACCACCAGAUUUCUCCAAGGACUAUGUUAUCUAUUGCAACACCUCGCGACAAGGACUAGGUUGCAUACUCAUCCAAGAUCGUCAUGUAAUUGCCUAUGCUUCACGGCAGUUGCAUCCACAUGAGGUAAAUUAUCCUACACAUGAUUUAGUGCUUGCAGCUGUAGUCCACGCGCUCAAAACCUGGCAACAUUACCUCCUCGGUAAUCGUUGUGAAAUCAUCACCGAUCACCAAAGUCUGAAAUACAUAUUCACCCAACCAGAUUUGAAUCUCAGGCAAAGACGUUGGGUCGAGUGGAUCACAUAUUACGUCUUUGGGAUAACUUACACCUUGGGAAAAGCCAAUGUCAUGGCUUAUACACUAAGUCGUAAAUCUUAUUGUAACAACUUGAUGUUACACCAAAGUCAACCACUUCUCCAUGAGAAAUUUCGGAAGCUUAACCUUCAUAUCAUUCCUCAAGGAUUCCUUUCUACCUUGGUGGCGAAACCUACCCUUAUGGAUCAUAUCAUAACCGCUCAGCGGUAUGACAAGGGGAUAUCUCGGAUCAAGGAGAACAUUGCUAGCGGAGUUGCUAAAUGUUUCACUGUGAAUGAUCAAGGUGUUGUCUUCUUCGAGAACCGUUUAGUGGUUCCCAUGAAACGACAACUACAUCAAUUGAUCCUUAAGGAAGCUCAUGAAUCUCCUCGCACAAUUCAUCCUGAUAGUACUAAAAUGUAUCAGGACAUACGCCAGAGGUUCUGGUGGACUAGGAUGAAGAGAGAAAUUGCUGAGUAUAUUGCUAAUUGCGACGUCUAUUAUUGUGUUAAACCAGAGCAUCAACGGCCUGCUGGCACCCUUCAACCUUUAGCUAUUAUUGAAUGGAAAUGGGAUAAGAUUGGUAUGGAUUUCAUCACCGGUUUUCCCAGGACCAAGAGAGGGAAUAAUGCUAUCUUUCUCGUCAAAGGACACAUGCCGGCCAGCCUAAGUGUUCCGGACCAAUAG